UACGGGGGGGGGCAAGCGUUGUUCGGAAUUACUGGGCGUAAAGGGCUCGUAGGCGGCCAACUAAGUCCGACGUGAAAUCCCCAGGCUUAACCUGGGAACUGCGUCGGAUACUGGAUGGCUUGAAUCCGGGAGAGGGAUGCGGAAUUCCAGGUGUAGCGGUGAAAUGCGUAGAUAUCUGGAGGAACACCGGUGGCGAAGGCGGCAUCCUGGGACCGGCAUUGACGCUGAGGAGCGAAAGCCAGGGGAGCAAACGGG
RNAcentral lists this ribosomal RNA (255 nucleotides) under uncultured bacterium. RNAcentral's name for it is "partial 16S ribosomal RNA". It matches the Rfam family "Bacterial small subunit ribosomal RNA", at positions 524 to 776 of the family's 1533-position model. The record is from RNAcentral.